UGUGCGAAAUACAUGUGCUGUUGGAAGUCACGCUCACCGACGGUUUAAUUGUGGACUUUUUUCAAUUCGUUUCGUUCGGUGUGUUGUGAAAAUGCAUGAUGUUAAGAGUGCACAAAUGGAAAUAUAAAUAUUAAAUAAGUGAAAGGUGUUUUAACGCAAAAAGUAUCAACGAAAACCGAAAAAUUUAAACCUCUCGACAAUUAGUAUCUAUUAAAAGCGCUUUGAUGAGUGUUCCCAAAUGCUUGGAUUAUAACCAGCAGCAAUUAAAUUGUAAACGAAAUGUGUGUUUAAGUGUGUGUGUGUGACUUUUAAUAAAAAGUCGAAGUUUUUAUAACAAAUGUGAAAUGAAAAUAGAAUAUAAAGCCUGUGUGUAUAUGCUUAUACAUACAUAAAAAAUGAAGUAAACAAGUAUUGGUUGCUGUUUGUGAAAACAAUAAAUUGGAAAUAAUCAGAAAUACACAAGUUAAAUACCUCUUCAGCCUAACUUAUUUGUUUUGUGAUCUGAAUCAAAAAUGUAAGAGAAUUGCAAUAAUCCCUUUCCCAAGUUCACUACUCCUUCACCUCUGCCAUACUGCUAAGUGCAACAGCAACAACAACAAAACUAAUAGCAAUCGACGUUCACGGUUCGAUAAAUUAAAAGAAACGUGAAACCAAGACGUAAAUGGAGGAAUCCGAGCGACGUUUGGAAAAAUCAAAUCCAGUGCUUUUCCACAACAACAAAAACUACACGACAUAUAGUUGCUGCAUAGUGCCAUCUAAAUUGGAUUUAUGUGUUAUAAGCGGUGUCUGGCUGUUGCUCAGCCUCAUUGGCCGCUGCUAUUGUUCAGGUGGCCCACUGCAGGCGACACGCUGAACCACACAACCUUCGUCAUCUGGUUCGAUAGUGAGUGAAGGCCGCACGAAAGUUCUACAGUGUCAUGCCUUAAAUCAUGGCACUUUAGUGAAAGGAAAAGGCUAAAGGAUACUGUACUAUCCUAAGGAAAAUAUUGUGUCAUGUUGUGUCCAAAAGAGCAGAAAUAUAUUUUUGGAUCUGCGUUUGACAACACAGCAAUGCUCAGCGAGUAAGUUGCUAAAAU
Molecule: long non-coding RNA, 1076 nt
Organism: Bactrocera tryoni
Lineage: Eukaryota; Metazoa; Arthropoda; Insecta; Diptera; Tephritidae
Exons: 3
Source: RefSeq, a predicted model, not a curated record